Gossypium arboreum is the source of this 145-nucleotide microRNA precursor. It matches the Rfam family "MIR7502 microRNA precursor family". The record is from Rfam. NCBI's taxonomy places the organism in Eukaryota, Viridiplantae, Streptophyta, Magnoliopsida, Malvales, Malvaceae.
UGAUAAAAAUUUCUUCCAAUUCUAUUAUUAAAAACUAGUAUAGAUCACGGAAUAAUUAGAUAAUUAUACAUGGCAUAUCAUAUGUAGCUCAUGUUGAUGUAUAGAGAUCAGUUUUUAAUCAUAAAAAUUGAUGAAAACUUUAAUA